This 116-nucleotide ribosomal RNA is filed under the name Larimichthys crocea (large yellow croaker). The record is from RNAcentral. Lineage: Eukaryota; Metazoa; Chordata; Actinopteri; Sciaenidae.
GCUUACGGCCACAACCUGAACACCGCCCGAUCUCGUCCGAUCUCGGAAGCUAAGCAGGUCGGGCCUGGUUAGUACUUGGAUGGGAGACCGCCUGGGAAUACCAGGUGCUGUAAGCU